Salvia miltiorrhiza (redroot sage) is the source of this 3839-nucleotide RNA transcript. It is a transcript of the gene named prolycopene isomerase, chloroplastic, with no coding region annotated. Lineage: Eukaryota; Viridiplantae; Streptophyta; Magnoliopsida; Lamiales; Lamiaceae. The transcript is spliced from 16 exons. The record is from RefSeq and is a predicted model, not a curated record.
GAAUUCGGUAAUGCGAGUUUUUGUCUCAUUUAAGAAGAAUCAAUCUGUAAAUGGAAUCUUCACCCGAAAUAAUGCCAAUUCAUCCACAGCUGAACUCUGAAUUUUGCUUCAAUUUCCUUCCAAAUACUCCCAAAUCAGUAUUUGAUGCAAUUAAACCUCUCAUUAAACCCAACCGCCGCUCACCUAACUCAAUCACACACCAAAAUAGCUCAAACUUUUUUCAGCCAAACUAUGUUUUUUAAAUAGCAGAUUUCAAUGACUUGGAAUAAGGUCAUACAAGAAUCACUUCCUUUGACAAUCUCAGGAUUUAGAUGGUUUCUUGUCUCAUUAGCAGAGGUUCCUGAUUCUUGAUUCUUAUCCAUCAAGAAUUGCUCUUUUUUGUUGUUGUUUUUGUAAAAAUAGUAAUCAAUAUUUUCAAAAUGAGCAUCGUCAGUUCUGGGGUUUCUUUUCAUCAGUCAAUUGUAAGUAACUGCAAGCCUGAGGCAUUGAGCAACCGAAAACCCAGAAACCAAAGACACAGAAAUUUGUGUUUGAACCAUUUGAAAUCCUUGAAUUUAAGUAAUGAUGGCUUGGAAUUUGGGGUCAGCAGGGGCAAGGAUGAGAAAAGAGGCAGUCUUUUUAGGUUGAAAUCAGCUGUUGAUGUUGGCGAAGUGGUAGAGAGUUAUGGUACAGGUGAGAGGGAUGGCUGCUUCUAUGAUGCCAUUGUUAUAGGUUCCGGGAUUGGGGGGCUGGUGGCGGCGACGCAGCUGGCAGUGAAAGGCGCCAAGGUUUUGGUCCUGGAGAAGUAUGUGAUUCCUGGAGGAAGCUCUGGGUUUUAUGAGAGGGAUGGCUUCAAAUUCGAUGUUGGAUCAUCGGUCAUGUUUGGUUUCAGCGAUAAGGGAAAUUUGAAUUUGAUCACACAAGCAUUAGCAGCCGUGGGAUGUAGGCUGCAAGUAAUACCUGAUCCCACCACUGUUCAUUUUCAUUUACCUAAUGGACUCUCUGUCCAAGUAGAUAGAGAAUAUAGCAAGUUCACUUCAGAACUUAUCAGUAAAUUCCCCCAUGAGAAAGAAGGCAUUCUCAAAUUCUAUGGUGUCUGCUGGAAGAUCUUCAAUGCACUGAACUCACUGGAGUUGAAGUCACUGGAGGAGCCAAUCUACCUUUUUGGGCAAUUUUUUAAGAAGCCUCUUGAAUGCUUGACUCUAGCCUACUAUCUGCCCCAAAAUGCUGGUGACAUUGCUCGGAAGUAUAUCAAGGAUCCUGAGUUGUUGUCCUUUAUUGAUGCGGAGUGUUUCAUCGUGAGUACGGUUAAUGCUAUGAGGACGCCUAUGAUCAAUGCAAGCAUGGUUUUAUGCGAUAGACAUUUUGGUGGAAUCAACUAUCCUGUCGGAGGAGUUGGAGAAAUUGCGAAGUCAUUAGCAGAGGGGUUGACUAAUCAGGGGAGUGAGAUACUUUAUAAGGCAAAUGCAACCAGCAUUAUCAUAGAAGACGGAAAAGCCGUGGGGGUGAAGCUAUCAGAUGGAAAGAAAUUCUAUGCUAAAACCAUAAUUUCAAAUGCCACUAGAUGGGAUACCUUCGGCAAGCUCUUGAAAAAAGAAAAUCUACCUAAGGAAGAAAAAAGGUUUCAGGAGGCAUAUGUUAAAGCUCCGUCUUUUCUUUCUAUUCACAUGGGGGUUAAAGCUGAUGUUUUACCACCUGACACUGAUUGUCACCAUUUCAUCCUAGAGGAUGAUUGGAAAAAACUGGAAGACACUUAUGGAAGUAUAUUUCUGAGCAUUCCAACUGUCCUUGAUAAAUCAUUGGCUCCAGAAGGAAACCACAUUCUUCACAUUUUCACUACUUCUUCUGUUGAGGACUGGGAGGGUCUGUCACGCAAAGAUUAUGAGGAAAAGAAAGAGCGUGUGGCCAGAGAGAUAAUUAAUAGGCUUGAGAAGAAAUUAUUUCCUGGACUUAAGUCAUCUAUAGUUUUUCAGGAGGUGGGGACACCAAAAACACACAGGCGAUAUUUGGCCCGUGAUAGUGGCACUUAUGGUCCAAUGCCUCGCACAACUCCAAAGGGCUUAUUGGGGAUGCCCUUCAACACAACGGCUAUUAAUGGUUUGUAUUGUGUGGGAGAUAGUUGCUUUCCUGGGCAAGGUGUCAUAGCUGUAGCUUUUUCAGGAGUUAUGUGUGCACAUCGAGUGGCCGCUGAUUUAGGAUUUGAGAAGAAAAACCCUGUUCUUGAUACCGCUCUCCUUCAGCUACUUGGUUGGUUCAGGACUUUAGCAUGAGAAGUUUCAUAUGAGAAGUCAGCAAAAAUGUCGAGACUUAAUAGGGAUGGCGUCAUACCAAAUCAACAGUCUCGAAGAGCAAUAAGAUGCCAUCAAACACUGUUAGCUACUUUUUCCUUAUGUUGAUAGAGAGGUGAAGAAACCAGCUUGAGUUCUUUGGGAUUAUUGCUGCCAGAUUGCCACCAUAGUAAUCCCAAAAUAGUUGCGGUUGCAAGAACCUGAAAUACCCUCAACCAGCUAAAAUAGUCGUGCCUUCGUUCUUUAAGUCCUCUGCAGAAUAGAAUGGAGUACUGUUCAAACCAGCUUGCUCCCCAUUCUCUCUUUGCAGAACAUACUUUGGCCUUAAUCUCGUCAUCUACGGGUGUUGGGUUUUUGAGUUUCUUCUUCUCAUUUUCAGCUACCCGUGUUUCAUAAGCCUCCACAAGAUACUGCUUAACAAUGGUAACAUUAACAUAUGAGGAAAGCAAUAAUUUUGUUCUUUAUGAAAUGUUGCGUAUCAUAUAAUUUAUGUUUAUAGUUUUGAGAUAUUGAGAUACUGGUUGAACUGUGAUUUCUCUAGUUCUUUUGGUGAUUGAAUGAAUUAUCUUUUACCUCGUGCACAACUGCUGGAGCUGGUUUUCCACUCUUUGUUUCUGUUGUGGAGUUCCCCAUUUGCACUUUGUCCUCCAAUUCCGAGGGGACAGAAAUGUCUGUUACGUUUCCAUUUGCGAGGUCGAGCAUGAACUCUGCAGGGUUCAUUGCAAUAAGAGGGGAACAGCCUAUGGAUGAGAAGUAAACCAUUGCUUCUGACACCUUUCCAAAGUAAAGCAGACUCCCUUUGCCGAGAAGAAUCAGCUUGUCGAACUUAAGGAAGAGUCUGCUUGAUGGCUGGUGAAUUGUGGUAACCACUGUUUUGCCAGCCUGCCAUGAUGACAAAUUGGACACGCGAAUUAUGGCUGUCUAUUUGUACCUCGGCUAUAUCGUGCAAUGUGUCCACAAUCCUCAAAGCAGUAGUGGAAUCCAGGCCUGAGGUGGGUUCAUCUAGGAACAAGAGGGACGGGUUGAUAAUUAUCUCGUUUCCGAUGCACACACGCUUCCUUUCUCCACCCGAGACUCCCCGGACGAAGGAGCCGCCAAUCAUUGUGUCUUGGCAGCUGGUGACAUACAUUGCUGAAAGGUUGUAGGGAAGUCUUGUACAAAAAUGCCAUGGAAAAUGAGAUUCUGUACAAGACUGAACCUGAUGACAUAAUAGCAUAAUGAUUUGAGUUGCAUUGAUCUCAAGCUAGAUAAACACCUCCAUCUCUUUAAUCUCCCUGUCCAAAUAGAUGGUGUCACACAUCAAUCUGUGGAUCCUUCUAGAAAGUACCCGGCUGGGACCGACCGUGUUUCGACACGUGUACUCUAUCUCGAAAGACAAAUGAAAGAGAUUUAUUGAGUAUUUGUGUGUAUGUUACCUUGAGGUAGAUUGGUAUUGUGGGUUCUGUUUGGAGUCUCUUCUUUUGCCUGCCUGCCUCAAGAUCUUCAGCUGCAACCAUUUUAUCAGACAACUAAUUAUUUGUCGUGACACAGAAUGCAUGCAAUUCAAGAUUUAAUGAGCUACGAGCAAGUAAA